Mytilus californianus (California mussel) is the source of this 876-nucleotide long non-coding RNA. RefSeq lists it as uncharacterized. The transcript is spliced from 4 exons. NCBI's taxonomy places the organism in Eukaryota, Metazoa, Mollusca, Bivalvia, Mytilida, Mytilidae. The record is from RefSeq and is a predicted model, not a curated record.
UCCUGUCCAGUGGUUAUAAAUAAAAACAAAUUUUACACGUCAAGUUUGUUAUAUAGAAAAUACUAUGAGUUAAAAUGAAAAUUUUCUUAGGUAUCUGUGUAUUUUCCUUGAUGAAUUUUAUUAUGGUUGGAACAGAGCUAAAUCACAAUUGUAGUUUCCAAAGAAACCACAGUGACUUCUGUUCAUAUAACAACUGUUUAGAGAAGUACCGCGAUGGUAACGGCAACCCGUCAACAAAACUGAUCAACAAUCCAAUGAUCAAAGAUACUACAGGUCUGAUCAAGAAUACUACACUUGUGAUCAACAAUAAAGGUGUGAUAAAAGGUGCCUCACGUAGUCUUCAUGGAAUACAGUCUGUACUAUCAAUUAUAUUAACCUUGGCGAUUCUUUCUGGAAUAUUAUCAUAGGGCAGAAAUGUCAAAAAAAUAUUUUUAACAGAUAUUCAAAUGGAAUAACCUAUCAUGUGAUGUAUUGUCUACAGCAGAUGUUAAUCAUGUUAACAGUGUGAUAAAGGCUAUCUAAAUGUAAUAAUGUACCUUAAUUUGAUUGUCUAUUGUAAAUUAUUGUUAUUAUUGUGCAAAAUUAUCUAAUUUUAACACUGACGCAUUCUAAUUAGACUAAUUAGUUUAGUUAGACUAAAAGUACUUCUUUAAGACACAACUACCUACCAUAUCAAUAUCCUCUAUCAUUUGUUUCUUCGGGAAUUUCAUGUGUCUACAUAUUGCACAUGAACAUUAACAUGGAAUUUACCUAUUUUAGGUAACAUUGCGCCUAUCUAGGAGUAAGUAAUCUAUCAUGAUAAGCAUGCAUUUCUUAAAGAAAAAGUUUCCCGAGGGUAAAAUGUAUAUAGUGUUCCUUUGCUUUUUGUGUGUGUUU